UACGGGGGGAGCAAGCGUUGUUCGGAUUUACUGGGCGUAAAGCGCACGUAGGCGGCUUUUCAAGUCCCAUGUGAAAGCCCACGGCUUAACCGUGGAAGUGCAUGGGAAACUGGAAGCUUGAGUACUUAAGAGGAUCGCGGAAUUCCCGGUGUAGAGGUGAAAUUCGUAGAUAUCGGGAGGAACACCAGUGGCGAAGGCGGCGAUCUGGGAAGAUACUGACGCUGAGGUGCGAAAGCGUGGGGAGCAAACAGG
RNAcentral lists this ribosomal RNA (252 nucleotides) under uncultured bacterium. RNAcentral describes it as "partial 16S ribosomal RNA". It matches the Rfam family "Bacterial small subunit ribosomal RNA", at positions 524 to 776 of the family's 1533-position model. The record is from RNAcentral.